RNAcentral lists this long non-coding RNA (959 nucleotides) under Triticum aestivum (bread wheat). RNAcentral describes it as "long non-coding RNA (TAES_LNC004868)". Lineage: Eukaryota; Viridiplantae; Streptophyta; Magnoliopsida; Poales; Poaceae. The record is from RNAcentral.
UCAUCUUCUCUAGGUAUACUCUACAGGCACAUACUUCUUGGUGUCCAAUCUCAGUAUGCCAUCUAUCUGAAUUUUCUAUUGUUUGCAUAGUGCCCAGUUUCAAAAAAUGGAAACUUGUACAUAGCCUUUAAGGGCGUCUACAUUUCAGAAUCCCUGUUUUUAGGUGUUUGUAUACAUUAGUUUUUAUGUAGAGCAUACGAGAUUAUUCUGCCAUGUCACAACAUUUAGUAAAAAAUUGACCUAAUAAUUCACACUUUACUAUCUUUAUAAUUAUACAUCAAGUACUGUGUCGUUUGCAGAUUUUAGUCUUAAGAUUAUAUACUAUGCAAACAAAGUUAUUCACUUUAUGUAUUAUCAUGUGCAUAGGACUAAGAGCACUGGCAGCAACGCGUGGGGAAUCAUCUAGUUUUCUCAAUUGCUCAUCUCCAGUAAUUUUUAAAAACGAAUCUUACUACUUUUUGCAUCACACAUCACGCCUUAGUUUCAACAUGUUUCUAUUCAGCAAGACAUGGAUCGUCAUGCGGUAGUUUCUAACAUGUUUUGCAGAAACAUAUGAAUACAACGCCUGGUGAAUAGACUAGGGUACACUUCCCAUCAAUAAAUCCCUCCUUAUGGCAGGCCUCAACACAUGGAUCAUCUUUGCACUUAAAAGUGCUAUAGCUCUGGCUGGCCUCCUUGCAAGUCUUGGCAUCAAAGCCUACGAAAAAAAUAACACAAUAUGACCUAUGAAAAAUAAUAAUCCUAUAGUGUUCUACAAAGAUACAAGAUAAUAUAUGAGGCACGGAGUAUGAAUUUCACAUAUGACUAGCAAAUGUAUAGAUGAUGCAUUGAGGAAGUUCCUUGUUCUUUAAAACUUACCAGGAGCCAAGAGGAGUAGCAUGAGAAAUACCAAGCAUAGCAGGUUGGAACCUUGAGGACUCCCAUGUCUCAACGAUUAUCAAGACACGAAGAAAUGUAAG